GAUAGAGGCCUACCAUGGUGGUAACGGGUAACGGGGUGUUAGGGCACGACACCGGAGAGGGAGCCUGAGAAACGGCUACCACAUCCAAGGAUGGCAGCAGGCGCGCAAAUUACCCAAUCCCGACACGGGGAGGUAGUGACAAUAAAUAACAAUACGGGGUUCUUUAGGAUCUCGUAAUUGGAAUGAGUACAAUUUAAAUCUCUUAACGAGGAACAAUUGGAGGGCAAGUCUGGUGCCAGCGGCCGCGGUAAUUCCAGCUCCAAUAGCGUAUAUUAAAGUUGUUGCAGUUAAAAAGCUCGUAGUUGAAUUUCGGGGUUAGUAGGUUGGUCAUGCCUCUGGUAUGUACUGGUCUCACUGAUUCCUCCUUCCUUAUGAACCGUAAUGCCAUUAAUUUGGUGUUGCGGGGAAUUUGGACUGUUACUUUGAAAAAAUUAGAGUGUUUAAAGCAAGCUAACGCUUGAAUACAUUAGCAUGGAAUAAUGAAAUAGGACGUUCGAUCUUAUUUUGUUGGUUUCUAGGAUUGACGUAAUGAUUAAUAGGGAUAGUUGGGGGCAUUAGUAUUCAAUUGUCAGAGGUGAAAUUCUUGGAUUUAUUGAAGACUAACUACUGCGAAAGCAUUUGCCAAGGAUGUUUUCAUUAACCAAGAACGAAAGUUAGGGGAUCGAAGACGAUCAGAUACCGUCGUAGUCUUAACCAUAAACUAUGCCGACUAGGGAUCGGAUGA
RNAcentral lists this ribosomal RNA (724 nucleotides) under uncultured fungus. Its description in RNAcentral is "SSU rRNA". It matches the Rfam family "Eukaryotic small subunit ribosomal RNA", at positions 332 to 1060 of the family's 1831-position model. Lineage: Eukaryota; Fungi. The record is from RNAcentral.